UCUUAUCCAGAGUGGCUGAGGGAACGGCCCAAUGACGCCCGGCAACCUGUCCCCUGCGGACAAGGUGCCAAUUCCGGCAGCAGCAAUGCUGAAAGAUGAG
Molecule: non-coding RNA, 100 nt
Filed under: human gut metagenome
Also listed under: 1 other name
Description: SAM riboswitch (S box leader)
Rfam family: SAM riboswitch aptamer (S box leader)
About the family: The SAM riboswitch is found upstream of a number of genes which code for proteins involved in methionine or cysteine biosynthesis in Gram-positive bacteria. The SAM riboswitch acts at the level of transcription termination control.
Source: RNAcentral